RNAcentral lists this ribosomal RNA (647 nucleotides) under uncultured bacterium. RNAcentral's name for it is "bacterial SSU rRNA". It matches the Rfam family "Bacterial small subunit ribosomal RNA", at positions 8 to 694 of the family's 1533-position model. The record is from RNAcentral.
AGAGUUUGAUCCUGGCUCAGGAUGAACGCUGGCGAGAUGCCUUACACAUGCAGGUCGUACGAGAAUUUUUAAUUCAAGUGGCGGACGGGUGAGUAACACGUAAGAAUUUGCCUUUAGGAGGGGGACAACAACUGGAAACGGUUGCUAAUACCCCAUAUGCUUUCGAGUGAAAUGGAGAUUUCCGCCUAAAGAGAAGCUUGCGGCUGAUUAGCUUGUUGGUAAGGUAAUGGCUUACCAAGGCGACGAUCAGUAUCUGGUUUGAGAGGAUGAUCAGACACACUGGAACUGAGACACGGUCCAGACUCCUACGGGAGGCAGCAGUGGGGAAUUUUCCGCAAUGGGCGAAAGCCUGACGGAGCAAUCUCGCGUGAGGGAUGACGGCCUAUGGGUUGUAAACCUCUUUUUUCAGGGAGGAACAAAAUGACGUGUACCUGAAGAAUAAGCAUCGGCUAACUCCGUGCCAGCAGCCGCGGUAAGACGGAGGAUGCAAGUGUUAUCCGGAAUCACUGGGCGUAAAGCGUCUGUAGGUGGUUUAAUAAGUCAACUGUUAAAUCUUGAAGCUCAACUUCAAAAUCGCAGUCGAAACUAUUAGACUAGAGUAUAGUAGGGGUAAAGGGAAUUUCCAGUGUAGCGGUGAAAUGCGUAGA